RNAcentral lists this ribosomal RNA (509 nucleotides) under uncultured bacterium. RNAcentral's name for it is "bacterial SSU rRNA". It matches the Rfam family "Bacterial small subunit ribosomal RNA", at positions 16 to 518 of the family's 1533-position model. The record is from RNAcentral.
AUUCUGGCUCAGGAUGAACGCUAGCUACAGGCUUAACACAUGCAAGUCGAGGGGCAGCAUUGGAGUAGCAAUACUCAGAUGGCGACCGGCGCACGGGUGAGUAACACGUAUCCAACCUGCCGCUUACUCGGGGAUAGCCUUUCGAAAGAAAGAUUAAUACCCGAUGGUAUAAAGAGUUCGCAUGUUCUCUUUAUUAAAGAAUUUCGGUAAGCGAUGGGGAUGCGUUCCAUUAGAUAGUUGGCGGGUAACGGCCCACCAAGUCUACGAUGGAUAGGGGUUCUGAGAGGAAGGUCCCCCACAUUGGAACUGAGACACGGUCCAAACUCCUACGGGAGGCAGCAGUGAGGAAUAUUGGUCAAUGGACGAGAGUCUGAACCAGCCAAAGUAGCGUGAAGGAUGACUGCCCUAUGGGUUGUAAACUUCUUUUAUAAGGGAAUAAAGUGAGGGACGUGUCCCUUUUUGUAUGUACCUUAUGAAUAAGGAUCGGCUAACUCCGUGCCAGCCGCGGC